Molecule: ribosomal RNA, 497 nt
Filed under: uncultured bacterium
Lineage: Bacteria
Description: partial 16S ribosomal RNA
Rfam family: Bacterial small subunit ribosomal RNA
Source: RNAcentral
GAUGAACGCUGGCGGCGUGCCUAAUACAUGCAAGUCGAGCGAACGGACGAGAAGCUUGCUUCUCUGAUGUUAGCGGCGGACGGGUGAGUAACACGUGGAUAACCUACCUAUAAGACUGGGAUAACUUCGGGAAACCGGAGCUAAUACCGGAUGAUAUUUUGAACCGCAUGGUUCAAAAGUGAAAGACGGUCUUGCUGUCACUUAUAGAUGGAUCCGCGCUGCAUUAGCUAGUUGGUAAGGUAACGGCUUACCAAGGCAACGAUGCAUAGCCGACCUGAGAGGGUGAUCGGCCACACUGGAAAUGAGACACGGUCCAGACUCCUACGGGAGGCAGCAGUAGGGAAUCUUCCGCAAUGGGCGAAAGCCUGACGGAGCAACGCCGCGUGAGUGAUGAAGGUCUUCGGAUCGUAAAACUCUGCUAUUAGGGAAGAACAUAUGUGUAAGUAACUGUGCACAUCUUGACGGUACCUAAUCAGAAAGCCACGGCUAACUACGUG